ACGCGCAGCGGCCGUUAGGUUGUCUCAGCAGUUAUCUCUCGCUGCAGGUCUGCCCGGUGACGGACGCUGACGCUUUAUUUUCGUAUGUUGAUACAAAGGCUUAAUCAUCACAGCAUGAGAAGACAGCACCAUCUCUUGGGCUUCAGAUACUGUAACCAUGUAUUUCUGUAACGAAGAAGACUCAUACAUGUAAGUAAUAUCUUUUGAUUUGGCCUUCUCUUACAAAUGGAAUUCAUGUUAGUGAAUGUGUUGCAGCUUGCAGAUUAUUAGGCAUCUGUCUGGUCUGAGCAGGCUCCGUUUAAAAAAUUC
This 309-nucleotide long non-coding RNA is filed under the name Apteryx rowi (Okarito brown kiwi). RNAcentral's name for it is "lncRNA (ENSARWG00000012886.1)". Lineage: Eukaryota; Metazoa; Chordata; Aves; Apterygiformes; Apterygidae. The record is from RNAcentral.